RNAcentral lists this ribosomal RNA (1107 nucleotides) under Xylodon ramicida. RNAcentral's name for it is "partial small subunit ribosomal RNA". It matches the Rfam family "Bacterial small subunit ribosomal RNA", at positions 76 to 1051 of the family's 1533-position model. Lineage: Eukaryota; Fungi; Basidiomycota; Agaricomycetes; Hymenochaetales; Schizoporaceae. The record is from RNAcentral.
GAAUUGAGUUAAGUGUACAAGGUGUAGGGGUGAGUAUUGUAAAUGAGAUACCCUUGUAGACUUCUUAAAUAGAAGAUAAAUCUUUUCAUUAAUAUAUAAAUUAUAUAAAAAAGAAAAGAUUAAAAUAAUCAAGAAAAGAUUAAAUUAAAAAGGAAAUUUUCCACUAUAAGGAUUCAAUUUACAUUCGAUUAGGUAGUUGGAAGGGUAGAAGCCUCCCAAGCCGACGAUCGAUAGUCAAGUUUGACAGAACAGAUGACCACAUUGGGAAUGAAAUAUCCCAAGUAGCAUUAAGCUACCAGCAGUCAAGAAUAUUAGUCAAUGCUCGCAAGAGUGAACUAGCUAACUGAAAUCAAAGGUGUGUCACUUUUGAUAAGGUAAAGGAAAAUAAUGAUACUACUUUACUAUUAGUGUCGUCCAAGUACUCGUGCCAGAAGACUCGGUAAGGCGAGAGACGCAAACGUUAGUCGUCUUGAUCAGGCGUAAAGGGUUUGUAGGCGGCUUUAAGAAUGGAUUCUUUCUAAAUAACAUUACUCUUGAGUAACACAGAAAGAAAAAAUCAAUUAAAGCUAGAAUCAAAUAGAGGUCAAAUUAAAUAAUACUUGGUGUAAGAUUGGUAUCUUUAAAAACCAAGCGGAAUACUAACGGCGAAGGCUUUUUUCCAUUAAUGAUUGACGCUGAGAAACUAAGGUGAGGACAGAAAAAAGGAUUAGAGACCCUCGUAUUCCUCACUGUCAACGAUGAAUGGUAGUUACUAGAUAUAAUUUAAAUGAAUAUACAUACUUAUUCUUUAAAGAAUCAAAUCUAGAGACGAUGUUAACACGAAAACCAUUCCGCCUUGUGAGUACGACUGCAAAGUUGAAAACAAAAAAAUUAGUCGGUUUCGGAGCAAACGAAGUGAAGCAUGUUAUUUAAUACGAUACCCCGCGUAAAAUCUUACCAGUCCUUGCAUAAAACUUUUAUUAUGAAGAAUUAUUUUGUAAGAGAUUUAACUAUGGUUUUUGACUAUAGCCUAAAUCAACUUAUAUUAUCAUUAAUAAUGAUUAAAAGGUUGUUCUACUUCUAUUAAUAACAAUAGAAUAUGGACUUCAUACAGGUGUUGCAUGGCUG